GAAGAGUGAUCAUUUUAGUUUUGUUAUUUAUUAAAUCAUAAUACUUAAAUAUUUAAAUAAAUAUUACAUAAUAAUAUAAAGCAUGAGCCACAUAAAAUUCUUACAGCCCCUAGCAAGCGCACGUAAUCCGCUAUAUUGAAAGCUCCUGCCAAGUUCAACGCCUCGUGUAAGCGCUUUCAACUGGAUUCUCUCAAUUUUGCUAUGCCCAAAAACCAUUUUGUGCGUCAUGUGUUCAAUGAGUUCAAUCACCGUGUCACUGAGGUUAACCACCUGACGUGCCUCGCCCAUUUCUUUAAGUGAUUGCACCAUCAACCCUAGCUCCUCCCUCCUCAUCGCUGCAAAAGAAUCAAUUUUCUCCCUGCUGAGAAGCUCCAUUGUACACAGUUUCCUGACAUUGCGCCAAUAUGGACCGUAGUUGCAAAAAACCAUGCCCUAGCUACCAUAAGUCAAAUACUCCGAGGCUUGUAUUGUAGGACGACUCCCGAACACAAUAUCAUGAGUUUUGAGGAAUAGCUUGGAACUUCAGGCGAUGAGACUACAGUAGCUGGAACGUACCCGAGGCGCAUAGACAUGAUGGAACCAUACUUCUUGGCCAGGAGGCUGAGGUUGCGCUGAGGAAGGUUCCCCAACAUGUGGAGGUUGCCAAUAAUGGGUAGUGCCCAAGGACCAGGUGGUAGUUUCCCGGUGAGUGGCCGGAGAUGGAUGAAUGAGAACAAGGCUCCAAGGAGGAGGAGAAGAAGGCCAAUUGUGAAAGGAAACAUAGGUUGGUUGUGGGAAGGGGCUGAUUGGUGUAAGAAAGUGAUGAUACAAGCCUGACAUAUAUAGUAGUGCAUAGGGCUAAUAAAAGAUGGUGGCAAGUAUUUGGAAUUGUAGAAGGUCGACCUAAUUAAGUUUAAUAACUCUGAUGGACCCAACUUUGAUAACAAAGAUAGAUGCCUUGCUCAGAUUUGAUGAAAUAUCAAAUCACAAUAAAUAUUACUGAAAAUCACUUAUCGUGAUUAAUGUUGAAUAGUGUUCAUUCAUGAACAAAAAAGGAAAAAGGAAAAAGGAAAAAGGAAAAACAAGAGACUAGAUUUGUUGCUUAUGCCAAAGUGUUGACAAACACCGAAAGAGAUCAUUGCAAUGGAAAGUUUAAUAGACUCGACUAUAUAUUAAAAUUGUUCCUACAUCUAAGUACUAUGGAAGGUCCAUUAAGGGCGUAAAGCAAAAUGAUAUAAAAACUUACCAAUUUUAUUUAAAACUUGAGAAUUUGAGUCAAGUUAUAACUUACAUAUUUUUCUAUUGUGAUAAUUUUUUUCACAAGACUCUCCUAUUAUCAUUGUGUAUUUUAUGAAUUCUCUAUUUUUGUUUUCUUAAUUUUUUCUUCCUAUUAUUGUUCUUUGUCAUGGAUUUCAUAAUAUUGGUACUAUUAUAAAUAAAUGAUGACUUCCACUUAAUUUUUUUUAUGAUAGAUUAAACAUGAAAAAAUAUUUAAACAAGAAGAGUUUUAUUUUAUAUUUUUAUUCCUUAUUCCACUAAUAUCAUACACAUUUGAGAACCACAAAUUAUUGACAUAGAUGCUUAAUUUUAUUAUUAUCACUGUCUACUUCACAUUGUUCUGUCCUACCUCCUGCUGAUUUUGGGUUCAUUUCGAUGCUUGAUUGUGGACAUUAGAUGUUGCGCAUGUUUGUGGAAUCUGAGACUAUUUUUUUUAAUGUAUUUUAUGUCUGGUAUUGGCCCUAUUUCUUUGGCUCUGUUUUGGUUCCCCUGUGAGAUGCCCAAUCAUGCUUUUAUUUCUAUUUAAAAUGUGUUUGGUUUCACUCACCUGUUUAAGCCCGUUGAUUAGAGCAUGAAACAGGGCUUCGUUCGAUGAUUUGUCAUUUCAUUUUAUUUUCUCUAUCCAUGCUCUGUUUUUUUGGUACCCACCUCUCUCGAGAGUGCUUAGACUGUGCACAUCCUUCUGGUUUGUUCUUGGUUUGAAAAUCAAUAGAUGCCUGCUAGGGUCUUUAUCAUGUCUCUGUUUCCUGUCUGGCAAACUGGUCAAAGACAAAACAUCAAUAUGACCAUCGCCACAGUCCCCCAAGUGUUUCAGUAAGAAGUGCUUGCAUUUUCGAAGUCUCACACAACCAACUGUGCACACGGUCCACUCAAGGCUUAAAGGAGAGAUUGAUUGUUCACUUCCAAGGUCAGGAAGGUGUUGAUGUAGUUGGGUAUUUUAGAAAAAUGGUUGAAGCUGGGUCAAGACUGAACCGGGGAGUCCGUGGUAAGAUGGUUGAUGGCCGGGUUAGUUUUCUUGAGCGGAUGACAAGAUCUCACAACCUCAUUAUGGUGCUUGGGCGAUGUGGAAGCAGUUCAUCAUGCCUCAUUAGCGCAUACAGUUUCAGAAAUAUAUGGUGGAGUACUCUCUUUCAUUGAGACCAAAAAUUUGGGAAUCUGGAUGCAUUCGCACAGAGCAUUGGAGACCUUCUGAUUGUUGUGGUUCAUGAGUUGCAAAUGGGGUUGGGUGUGUGGACCCAGGUCUACCCCUUUCUGUUCUUUAAAAGCAAGAAAUUGUCCAAACCGUGUGAUGGCUCUUACACGUGGCAUAUACCAUUGUUGGUUUGGACGGGGAAUAAGCUACAUUCGAAUCCUGUUCAUGCAGUGGUGUAGCUCCGGCUAUCAAUGGAAUAUCUCGGUUCUGGUGAUGGCAGUGAGUUGAAAGCUGAAGGUGUAGAAGCUUGAAGGCCAUUCCGAUAUUUUUUCAGUUUAGAGAAUCUGGAACAUAUUACCUUCUGUACUCCUACUGCUCAAGUCACGCAUGCUCGCAUUUACAAGGUCCCUUCAGAAAAUAUUCCUACUGUUACAGUAGAAGAGUUAUACAGAUGUACAAUGGUUAUGAGAUGAUAUGAUUAAGGGACCAAUCGAGAAAGGGUCUCUUAGGAAAAUGGAUAAUUGCGGAUUGAAGUUAGGAGGCUCAUGAGACCACUCGACAAUGUGCUACCAUCUGUAAUACCAAGUCACAACAUGCAUCUUGGAGUCCUUGCUAUUGCAUCACCCUAUUGAUACUCUUAUGCUGGGAUAGGUGUUCAGACCUUUGGGAAGACACUCGUCACAAUAAUAACUGCACUGCUGCGUUUCUUGUCAUCUCCCAACUGAGGGGCCUCAUGACUGCCAUGGACACUGCUACUCAGAUGCUUGCAUCCACGAUCAAGUCUCUCACCUUCCAGUCCGUAUUGAAACAACUGAUAUGGCCAAGGUAAUUCUCAGCUGGGUCUUCCAUCACCUAAGCUGCCCCCUAGACCUCACUUUUCCAACUCACUCCUGCCUGGCCACCCAAACCCUUUUCAAAGCCCCCCAUCAAAGUCCCUCCACCAUCAAAUCUGAAUCCCAAGCCAAACUACUCCACGCCUAAAGCCUUAUGACCAGCUCACCAUCCUCCCAACCUUCAUACCCAUCAAACUCAUCACCCCCCGUGGACCUUCAGGCGUUCCGAUUUCUUCCACUGUAGAUCCUAAAUGCAUUGCUUCGGGUAUCAAAUACCAUGCAGAGUUCAAGCCUUUGUUUUCCAGAACAGUUCGGGCUCUCUAAGGCUUUCCCUGCAAUUGCUCAAAGUGUUCGUGAUGCACCAUCAUAAACUGGAACGCUACAUAUGUUGACUAUGGGAAGAUGAUUAUGCUGUAAAACAAAACCCCGUCUUGAUUGAGGGUAUAUUGUUCUUAAAAAUCUGGGCAUUGAUGAUAUUCCCAUAGUUGAGUGGUACACUUCUGAGUCACCCCAUGCAUUCCCCGUGAUUUCUGAUGAUGGAGUUCCCCCAAAGGUCACGGAGGAAGUAGAAAAUGUUUAGGCACACUGUACGCAACAUCGUACCAUGCUCAUUCAUCAAUCAACCCCUCAGCUCAUAUGCAUAAGGGUAAUGCCGCAACAACAGCCACUCCAAUGGAUACCAUAAUUGGUGCAUAGUGGGGCAGACCUGUCGCUUCACAAGAGUCAACAGAGACGGUGGUCGAGGUUGAAGGAGCAUGUGAAUUAAGAGGAGAAGCCUUCUUAGGCUUUGGAGGUAGAGGAGCUGAUGCUGGUGCUUGAGGGCUGAGGAUACCUUGUGAAAGGAGAAUCUGGGGGAUCUCAUACACGGCAAGCUGACCAUCACUGUAUACUGUGCUGUUCACUGUUGUAUUCACAAGGCCUGUUGUCAUGUUCACCUGUCAAGGCUAAAAAAUACCAUGUUGAAAAUUUGCUUGAGGGACCCUCUGCAUCAGUCCCUUCAAGUGCACAAGCUCAUGGGCAUAAACUGAAGCAGGGAAGAUUGGUUGUAGUCUUGAGGCAGACGUUUAAGGCAUGAUCAACUGUUUGAGAUCUCUAGUGUGAAUGCCAAGUCCCAGCUCCAUGCACUAGCCGUAUGCUAUCUUGGGUACAUACGUGAGCAUCAAGAAAGAAGCUUGUUGGGCCACCUCAAGCAUCACAACUGGAAAUAAAGAUCAGAUACAGCCUGCAACUGAAGCCAACCUCCACUUCCCUGGGUCUACUUCUAGCUACACGCCACCUUCGGCAUACAAUCCGUAAAGCACACGUGCCUCAUCUUCUUUUUCUUCACCUUUGCUUUCAAAAAUUAUUAUUAUUUUUUUAAAAUUUUAAUUUUCAAAUAAAUUUAACUCUUCAGUUUUUUAUUUAUUUUAUUUUAUUUUUUAUUCAUUCUUAGAGUUUUAGAUCACCAAAAAUCCGAUUUUAAUAAAUUAUUUGUUGUCAUUUUCUCUUCAGCAAACAUUUUUCACAAUUUUCCUUGUUUUUUAAAAUAUUUUUUAUUAAGUAUGAAUUAAAUUCUAUCCUCCGAACAUAAUGAAAUCCUAGAUAAUUAAUUCAUAUAAAAUAAAUUGAGCAUUGGUGGGACCUAACAUUUGUGAUCGAUUGUUUGAUUGACUUUGCCCUACUUUGACAUGCAUGCUAUUAAUUUGUAUUUGUACACUAAUCUUGUCUCUUAUGAUAGCAUUCAACUUGCAAUUAAGGUAUGCAUUGUACCUAAUCAUAUUUAUUUAUUUAUCCGUUAUCAUGCAUGACUUGUUUUAUUAUUUAAUCAUUGUUUGACACUCACGAUUUUUCGAUUAAUUGUCAUACUUGCUUUAACUAAUUAGUAGAAACCUAAUUUUUAGGGCUUAAAAGGGUAUUAUGAUUUAUUAUCGUACAUUCCCUUAUAGGUAACUUGACCUCGAACCUAAAUUUGAUUUUUCAUACACCUGUUUUUCUUUCGUAAUAACAUUUAGUGUUUUUCUUUUUUAUUUUAUUUUUUUUUUUAAAAAAAAACAAAAAUAAGUAGCGACUCCAAAAACUUUUCAAUAAAUUAUUAUUUUUUCAAAUAAAAACGAGUCGUGCCAUUUGAGUGGGAACGCAUGUAUCGCAAGGUAGGGUCCACAAUAUGUGACACUAACUAAUUAAUGAUGUUCUUUUGGUAGGUAUGAAAAAAAUAUGGUUCGAUAUUGUAAAUGGAACUUAUAUAUUGAUAUUAAUGGAAAAAAAUUUAUAUUAAAAAAAUAUUAUUCUUAUUAAAUUGGUUCGUCCAUAUCACUUUUAUUUAACUGACCACAGUUUAUGAGGCGGCCUCUUGCCUACUUUUAAAUCACAUAACUAGGCAUAUAAAAUGUGUUCUUGGCUUGGUUUACAGCUGCGCUCAGACUGUUGUUUACUUAGUGCUAGCUGGCUUGGGGUCAAAUAUAUUUAACUCCAAGCUUCCUGAUCCUAGGCCUAAGCACGCGUUGGGAAUUUAAAAAUGAUUGUUUUCUUCUUUUCUUUUUUUUUAAAUCAAAAUUAGACUUACAUAUUUUCUAGAGAAAAUGAAACAUAAAAACAUUUGUUUUUGUAUUAAAUGACUAGCCCUUGGUAUUGAUAAGCCAAAUUUCUCACACAUAUCCAAGUCAUUAGGCGACAUCUCAUUGCAAGCUCAAUAAUGAUUAUCUCUAAGUCAAAAUUACUUUCUCCAUUUUGGACUUGAGAUACCCUUAAAGGGAUUUAUGAACUCUAAUUUCUAAGCAUUAAAGUAUGACAUUCUAAUUAAAAAUAGAAAUAGGUCCAACUUACAAUAAGUUGAAUAAAUCCUUAAUCACAUAAAAUUUGAUUGUCAUUUUAUGGACACAAGAAAGGUCCAAGAUCGACUUUUCUGCAACCUAAUCUACUACUCAAAAGAUAUGAAAAUGGAAUUAAAAUGAAGAACAAAAGAAAGGUAUAAAAAAAUCAUCAUUCAAACUUAAGAUUCAUAUUAUUUUUCAUUUCGUUUUUAAUUCUUGACCUUUGAAAUCUUUUCUUUAUGAGGCACAUAAGCCAUCAUUUUAUCAAUUUGUUUUUAUAAUUUUUUUUCUUCUAAUUUUUAAUAGUAGCUAGUUUUAAUUUUCCAAUUCUUAAUAAUAUUUCAUAAUUUUCCUCAAACAAGUCCACAUGUCCCUCUCAAAAAUCCAUCUUUAGGCUUUAAAUUUCAUUUUGAAAACCCAACUUGAGUCUUUCUCUCAUUUUCUUUUUCAAUGCACUCUACCUUUUGGGUGCAUUUCAUAAGCAGGUAUGAAAAAAAAAAUGUGACUAGGAAAGACAAUAUUAGAAGUAGAUUAUUACAUGGUAUAAAUUUUAUGAAAAUAAUUUUUUUGUUAUAUUCUCGAUCCAAAAUAAUAAUGAAUAAUGAAGAGAAUGAAUUUUUUUUCCACUUCCAUGUUCUAUUUUUGUAUUUCAAAUACAUCCUCAUUAAAAAAGAAAAAGAAAAAAAUAGCCACCUUCAUACUCCACAUACUUUGACCAAUCGAAGUCAAAACUUUGGACAUUCAAACAUUCCAUUAAUCAAAACUUCAUUACUAGAAACACAUGAAAAUUCCACUUUAUAAAAACUUCCAUGCACUCCCUAAAACAUCUAAAUUGGUGCAUAACUUAAUACUAAAAGCCUAAAACCAUAGUUUAUGUCAUUAAUUUUCUUUAUAAAAAAAGUGAAUUUCUCAAAAAAUUUCAUGUAAGUCUUUCCUUAUCUUUUUUCGAUAUAGUGAAGAGGAGUGCUAAUGAAGUAAAUUUAAACAUGACUCUUGUCUUUAAAGUUUGUAAUACCAAAGAUCUUUCUCUCUCUUUCUUUCUUUUCAGACCUUUUUAAAUUCUAUAUGAAAUGAGAGGCGAUUCAUAUGUACAUCUAAGAUAUAAAUAUACUUUCAAGAAUAAUAUAUAAAUCAUAAAUUAUAACUGUUAUUUGAGCUAUAAUAAACUUAACGAGCAAUAUAUUACUGAAAUAUCUCAAGAGAAAACAUAUAUAAUAAUACAAUCUUAAAAACAAAAUCAAUUGAAAUGUUCAAUAAGACACUCUCAUUAAACUUUGGGAAGAAGUCGAUAAGUAGGAAGAGCAUGUAAGUGAGUGGCCCUUGGCAAUGCCAAACCAAAUUCCUCGCUCAUAUCCAACUCACUAGGUAACAUGCCAUUAGGUAGUUUCCAAUCAAAACAAUGUACUAAUUGAGCUAACACAAGCCGAAUGUUUAUUAGACCUAAAUGCAUUCCAGGACAUUUUCGACGACCUGAUCCAAAUGGAAUGAACUGAAAAUCCUUCCCUUGAAAAUCUAUAUUGCUACCAAUGAACCUCUCAGGAAAAAAGUCUUCAACAUUAUUGGACCAUAUAUUAGGAUCUCUUCCAAUUGCCCAUGCAUUGAUGAUAAUUUGUGACUUCUUAGGUAUGUAAUAUCCAUUUAGAGUAAUAUCCUCGAUGGACUCAUGUGGGAGAAGCAAUGGUCCAGCAGGAUGUAGUCUUAAACCCUCUUUCAAUACCAUGUAUAAAUAAACUAGAUUUGCCAAAUCAACCUCUUCUACCAUUCGUUCCAUUCCAAUCACAUUCUCUAAUUCUUCUUGAAGUUGCCUCAUAACUCUUGGAUGUCUAAACAAUUCAGAAAGUAACCAUUCAAUGGUGGUAGCUGAAGUGUCAAUUGCACCAACAAUUAUGUCCCAUACGAUUCCUUUAAGAUUUUCUUAUUUAAUUAAAUAUGAUGGCUCUUGAUGAAAGUUUUUCGUCUCAUUCAUCAGUGAUAGCAUCACAUCAACAAAAUCAUUAUGGUUUCCCUGAUUUUCGCUAGCGUCUUGUUUAUGCUCAUCAAUGAUCUUUUCUAAAAUAUGGUCAACAGCUCCACUAAUUGCCUUCAUACGCCUUUUCAAACCCUAAAAAUGAGAAAUUUAAAAUUUGUCAGUUACUUUUCAAAUUAUAUGAGUAACCUAAAAGUAUUGGUUUGUAUUCUAAUGGAUCCUUAGCUCAAUAAAUUUAGCAUGACUAAAAUAUCAUAUGAUAAUUCAAAAAUAUUAUAUAAGCUUUUUUGUAUUUAUAGGCUGCCAUACAAUUUUUUUUUUUUUUUAUAAUGCUACUCAAAGAAAAUAUUGCAUUAAAAAAAUGAAAAUAAAUCUUGUAUCUCCUUGUGAGCCAAUAUGAUUCACCAAAAGGCAGCCUAUAAUUCAGAAAACACUAAAAGCGAUUUUGGAAUCAUACAAAUAAUUUUUUAGAUUUUUAAAAAUGUUUUCUAAAUUUCAUCAAACACCUAAUUUUUAUUUGAAAAAAAAUAUUUUUUAAACAAAACGCUUCUUAGAAUAUCUGUGAAACUGUAAAUAGAAAGGGUGAGAACUACCUGAAGAUCGAGGGCCCCCAGAAAGGGCACAUAAUCUGCUAUAUUGAAAGCUCCUACCAAGAUCAAUGUUUCUUGCACAAGCGCCUUCAAGUCAGCCCUCUGAUAAUCCUUACAGCGCCCAAAUAGCAUUCUAUGCGUCAUGUCUUCAAUUAGUUCACCUACCUUUUUACUAAUAUUCACCACUUCCCGAGCCGCUGCCAUUUGUUUCAGUGACUGCACCAACACCCCCAGCUCCUCCUUCCUCAUUGCCGCAAAAGAAUCAAUUUUCACCUUGGUAAGAAGCUCCAACGUACAGAGUUUCCGGGCAUUGCGCCAAUAUGGACCAUACUCAGCAAAAGCCAUGCCCUUCCCCCCAUAGGACAAGUACUCUGAGGCUUGGAUUUUGGGCCUGCUAGCAAACACUGCAUCGUGGGUCUUGAGGAAUAGCUCGGCAGCCUCCGGCGAUGAGACUACGAUAGUUGGGACAUACCCAAGGCGCAUAGACAUGAUGGGACCAUACUUUCUGGCUAGGCGACUGAGGUUGCGGUGGGGAAGGUUGCCCAACAUGUGGAGGUUACCAAUAAUUGGUAAUGCCCAAGGACCCGGUGGGAGUUUCGGGCCAUUAACUGAGGCGGUACGGCGGCGAUGGAUGAAGGAGUACAAGGCUCCAAGGAGGACUAAGAGAGCUGCAGUUGCGAAAGCAGACAUGCUUGGUUGUGGGACGAUGUGGGCUUGGAGAUGAGAAAGUUCGUCAAGUGAAUUUGCAAUCUAUGUAGGCUGUUGUCAAUGAGCGAUGGUCUUCGCCUUCUAGGUAAAAAGAAUGAAUCCAAAUCAACCAUCAAAACUAGGAUUUUUUUUUUAUAAUUGUAUGGUGAAUUUAAAAUUAAUUUUAAAAAAUACAGUACAUUGAAAAAUAUUUUUAAAUUUAAGACUUUUUUUGUCACUUUGAAAGAUGUCUCUUAAAAAAACACCUUCCAUCAUUUUUAUAUCAAUAAUACAUGUUCAAAAAAAUUGAAUUUACAUUCAAGGUAUUUUUUGAAGAGACAUCUUUCACAAUUUUUAUAUCAAUCACACACUUAAAAAAAUUUUGAAUUUACAUUAAAAAUGUCUCUUCAAUAGACUUUUUACAAUUUUAUAAAAUCUAAUUUAUAUUAAAAAUGUUUUUUAAAUAAACACUUUUCAUAAUUUUCAUAUCAAUUGCAUAGUGAAAAAAUUAAAUUUAUACUAAAGAUGUCUUCUUAAAAGACACUUUUUAUAAUUUUACAAAAUUAAAUUUAUAUUAAAGAUGUCUUUGAAUAGAGAACUCCAACAAUUCUUGUAUCAAUUAUUCAUUGAAAUAAUUGAAUUUAUAUUAAAAGUGUCUUUCCAAAAGAUAUAUUCCAUAAUUUUAUAAAAUUAAAUUUAUAUUGAAAGAUUUUCCUUCAAAAGUCACUUUUAGUAUAAAUUUAAUUUGUUCGAUAGGUUACUAAUAUAAAAAUUAUGGAAUAUGUUUCUUUGAAAGACAUAUUUAGUAUAAAUUCAAUUUUGUGAAACUGUAGAGACAUCUUCAAUGUAAAUUCAAUUUCUUUUUUCAUUGUAUGACUGAUAUGAAAAUUAUGGAAUAUGUUUAUUCAAAAAACACCUUUAAUAUAAAUUUGAUUUUAUGGUAUUGUAAAAAUGAUAUAUGUUUAAUAUAAAUUCAAAUUUUUUUAAUGUUGAUGCUCUUAUUCUCUAAUAUCAUCUACCAUCAAAGAAGAUCGAAGUCUCACUUCUCAAACUCAAGUAUAAAUGAAAGAAUAAUCUUUGCAAAAUGCUUUCAACAGCAUCUGAGAAGUAAAUUACUACACGAGGUAUAAUAGCACAAUUUUAAAGCCCAUGUUUUGAAUUGCAUCUUGUGUGUGAAGAUGAUAAUUUUUAUACCAAUUUGUUGUGCUAAGGGCUUGAGGAAUUUCAGAAGUACUAAACAAAAUACAACUAAACUGGCUCAUAACAUAAAGAGAAAUAGCAAGAGAAAUAGACAAAAAAAAGAGGACAUACCAUGUAUGAGGUUCAAUGAGCAUGCCUUGGUUACGUCUUCAGCAAUGGUGAUCAAGCCUGACAUAUAUAGUAGUGCAUAGGGCUGAUAAAAGAUGGUGGCAUGAAUUUGGAAUUGUAGAAGGACCUAAUUAAGUUUAAUAACUCUGAUGGACCCAACUUUGAUA
Molecule: long non-coding RNA, 10729 nt
Filed under: Vitis vinifera (wine grape)
Lineage: Eukaryota; Viridiplantae; Streptophyta; Magnoliopsida; Vitales; Vitaceae
Description: long non-coding RNA (VVIN_LNC005661)
Source: RNAcentral